RNAcentral lists this non-coding RNA (46 nucleotides) under Schistosoma margrebowiei. The record is from RNAcentral. Lineage: Eukaryota; Metazoa; Platyhelminthes; Trematoda; Strigeidida; Schistosomatidae.
GCACUGCUGAGGAGUCCCACAAUAGGACGAAACGGCUUUACAGUAC